UUAAAAGGGUUUCAAUAGAAAAUUUAUAUAUAUUUAUUUACACAUAUAUGUGUUUGUCUAUGCUUCUCACACAGUACUGUGCUUGAUAGAAUUUUCUAAGGAGAUGCGGUACUGUUGAACUCAGAUAUUUAAUUUAUAGUUAUAUACAGGCUAUUUACAUUUCCAGUUAAAUACAUAGAAUGUUUAUUUAACUUCUUAUUUGCAGCUGUUAAGACGAGAGCUAAAACAAUUUUGAUAAGAUUCAUAGUCUCUUCUGUAAAGAAAGAUUUCAUUUAUGAUAGCAUUUAUAAUAAUUUCUGCUGGAAAUCAAAGGCAUGUUACAAGAAGAAAAAUAUAGGAUACUUUAAAUAGUAUGACUUUAUAAAUUAUAUAUCAUGAGACUAGGCUUUUGGCAAGACACUUAAAACCUACAGCUGUACAAUGCCAGGGUUACAUGGUGUCUGUAAUGCUGACCACAGUGGCCAACCCUUUAUUAGUCUGUUAUUUAGGGGACUGGGUGUGCUCUUCUUAUUGUAGUGGAAGUUAUAUAGUUGAAUAUAAAAAGUUUUUUGGUAUUAUAUUACUAAAAAAACAGGGUAGUUCUGUUAAAGAUUACCAAGUUGAUCAUGAAUUCAUCAGAUAAACACUGUUUUGUGCUUCAGAUGGUUCUCAGAAUCAGGUAACAGGGUAUUCCACUUUUUCAUAGCAACUGACCAGGAUAAUGCACCAUAAUUGAUAUACUAACCAGCUGUGCCUGCUUUCGAGGACCCCAUAGUCACUAUAAUCUUUAAGCCAAAUCAUUAAAAAUACAGAGAGGAGAGAGAGAUUUUAAAAUAUUUGCCAGUAAAACAAAUGUUAUAUCUCGUAAGUAUAGAAUAUGACCACACCUUUAAACAUUUCAGUGCAAACUUUAAUUUCUUGGAUCUGUUACUUGAAGAAUUAAUUUGAUUAGAUUUGAAUGCAAAGAGGACUGGACCAGCUUAGGCCUAGUGAUAAGUUUAUUGGAUCAAGACUAAGAAAUACUUUACUUUUUUAUAUAUUCAAAAUAUGACUACUCUUUUCAAGUAUACCACUUAAAAUGCUCCAUAUGUGUUUUCAUUAAUCUUCAUUGGCCCUUGUAAAAAAAGUUUUUAACUUUUUAAAGAUUUAUAGUAUUUACAUCCAUGAGAAACUGUGCCAAAUGAAGUAAAAAUGUGUCAUAAAGAUGAUUUCAAUUGCAACAUUCAUGUAAAUACUAAGGAAAAAGAAAAGGUCCAUUUCUAAAUUUAGUAUGUUUUGUCUGAAUUUGAAUUAGUUAAUCUGCACAAUCAUGUUUGUUUUAUAUUUAUAAGUACUUGACUCACUGGCCCUUUUUGUUUUAAACUGUAAGUUUCAUUUUAAAAGGUUAUUCUCACUAAUUUUUAGUGUCAUUUGUUCACUUACUGGUAACACCAGAACAAAGAAAUUAAAAAGUAAUAAAAUCUGCUGGCACAGAAAUAAUAUAUCCUUUGGUAACAUAAAACCAUUUGCAGUUAAAAAUUGAUUUAUUGGGUAAAGAACUAAACGCACUUAUUACCUCUACCUUUGUUUCUUCUCUUACAAAGGAGCACUGUGAAAAAAGUAAAUAUAAAAAAAAUUGUAGUGGAGUUUUGUUGGUAUUCUAAGUUCAGCAAUCUACUGGUUACUUAAUUGUGAAACUGUGAAACCAAAUUGUUAACCUAUAUUAUUUUAGUUCAUAGCAUUACUAUUUUAUGAAAUGUGACACGUUAGGAACCAAUAUAAGACUCUGGAAGGGUAAUAUGCCUUUAAAUCCUGACUGAGGGGAGGAUAUUCUUAGCUAACUAAACCAACACUUGAGCAGUAUGCAGUAUUAUGAAAUGUUACAACAAUAUGUUAAAAAUAAUAAAAUGCUAUUUUACAAUU
This is a long non-coding RNA of Heterocephalus glaber (naked mole-rat), 1881 nucleotides long. The record is from Ensembl. NCBI's taxonomy places the organism in Eukaryota, Metazoa, Chordata, Mammalia, Rodentia, Bathyergidae.